AAAGUGAAGGAAACGCUGGGAAAUUUGGAAGUCAGAUAUGAGAGCUAAUGCUGGCAGCUAUUGGGAUGUCCUCUUCCAGGACUGGUGAUGAGUUUCCCUGGAUCCAGCCCUGGCCUGGCUGAGGGAUUAUUUUCAGACCUCAUGAAGCUGCUGGCUUAUAGAACAGGAGUCUUUCUGUUGGCAGCCAGGAGAGAUACAAGAGGGGGAGGACAGAUUCUGCAGCUCCAUUUCGCCCUUGGGACAGGAGAAAGGGUUGGAAAACAAAGAUCACUUUUCUCUGGCCAAAUGGAGUCACCCAACGAAGUACCUUCCUAAUGGGCCAGCUCUUUCAGAUGACGAAGGUUGAAGAAGCGGCAUCAUCAGAGAACUGUGUUUUGAAGAUUUGAGGGAAGGGCUGACCUCAGGAUUUUAUACUAGGUUUGUGUAAACACACAAGAUUCUUUUUCUCUCUGUCCCAAAUUUAAUCAUCACACUCAUUCAAGUGAAAUAUGAAGUCAUAAGUAUUAAAAUAUGCAUGAGAUUUUG
RNAcentral lists this long non-coding RNA (525 nucleotides) under Pongo abelii (Sumatran orangutan). RNAcentral's name for it is "lincRNA". The record is from RNAcentral. Lineage: Eukaryota; Metazoa; Chordata; Mammalia; Primates; Hominidae.